This 253-nucleotide ribosomal RNA is filed under the name uncultured bacterium. RNAcentral describes it as "partial 16S ribosomal RNA". It matches the Rfam family "Bacterial small subunit ribosomal RNA", at positions 524 to 776 of the family's 1533-position model. The record is from RNAcentral.
UACAGAGGGUGCGAGCGUUAAUCGGAAUUACUGGGCGUAAAGGGCGCGUAGGCGGUUGAUUAAGUUGGAUGUGAAAUCCCUGGGCUUAACCUAGGAACUGCAUACAAUACUGAUUGACUAGAGUGCUGUAGAGGGUAGUGGAAUUUCCGGUGUAGCGGUGAAAUGCGUAGAUAUCGGAAGGAACACCAGUGGCGAAGGCGGCUACCUGGACAGACACUGACGCUGAGGCGCGAGAGCGUGGGGAGCAAACAGG